GGCGGUAGGCUUUAUACAUGCAAGUCGAGCGGUAACAGACGUUUUGAUUCAGCUUGCUGAAUCUAGUGCUGACGAGCGGCGAACGGGUGAGUAACGCGUAGGAAUCUGCCUAGUAGUGGGGGAUAGCCCGAGGAAACUCGGAUUAAUACCGCAUACACCCUACGGGGAAAAGGGGGCGUCUUAGACGCUCUCACUAUUAGAUGAGCCUGCGUAAGAUUAGUUUGUUGGUAGGGUAAUUGCCUACCAAAACUACGAUCUUUAGCUGGUCUGAGAGGACGACCAGCCACAUUGGGACUGAGACACGGCCCAGACUCCUACGGGAGGCAGCAGUAAGGAAUUUUGGACAAUGGGGGCAACCCUGAUCCAGCUAUACCGCGUGUGUGAAGAAGGCCUUAGGGUUGUAAAGCACUUUAAGCAUUGAAGAAAGGAAAUAAGUUAAUACCUUAUUUCUUUGACAUUAUCUGCAGAAUAAGUACCGGCUAACUCCGUGCCAGCAGCCGCGGUAAUACGGAGGGUACAAGCGUUAAUCGGAAUUACUGGGCGUAAAGCGCGCGUAGGUGGCAAAGUAAGUUGGAUGUGAAAGCCCUGGGCUCAACCUAGGAACUGCAUUCAAAACUACUUAGCUAGAGUACGAGAGAGGAGAGUAGAAUUUCUGGUGUAGCGGUGAAAUGCGUAGAUAUCAGAAGGAAUACCAAUGGCGAAGGCAGCUCUCUGGCUCGUUACUGACACUAAGGUGCGAAAGCGUGGGUAGCAAACAGGAUUAGAUACCCUGGUAGUCCACGCCGUAAACGAUGAGAACUAGCCGUUGGGAGGAAUUAACCUUUCAGUGGCGCAGCUAACGCAUUAA
RNAcentral lists this ribosomal RNA (847 nucleotides) under uncultured SAR156 cluster gamma proteobacterium. Its description in RNAcentral is "SSU rRNA". It matches the Rfam family "Bacterial small subunit ribosomal RNA", at positions 38 to 863 of the family's 1533-position model. Lineage: Bacteria; Pseudomonadati; Pseudomonadota; Gammaproteobacteria. The record is from RNAcentral.